ACACUGUAAAUGUUAGUCAUGGAGGAUGUGUACCAACAUGGAAGAGUGUUUACAAUGUAUCUUUAGAGAAAAGAUGGACUAUCCAAGUAUGCAUACUGGAAUUAUCAUUAGAUUACCAUACAUCUGGGUGAGGAGCAGAACAGAGACAUAAGUAACAGCAACCGUGAACCUCAGAGGCAGCCAAGGGCUGGAGUGCAAUGGCACCAUCGCGGCUCACUGCAACCUCCACCUCCUGGGUUCAAGCGAUUCUCCUGCCUCAGCCUCCCGAGUAGCUGGGAUUACAGGUGCCCACCACCACGCCCAGCUAAUUUGUGUAUUUUUAGUAGAGACGGGUUUCACCAUGCUGGCCUCGAACUCCUGACUUCAGGUGAUCCACCUGCCUCGGCCUCCCAAAGUGCCGGGAUUACAGG
Molecule: long non-coding RNA, 410 nt
Filed under: Homo sapiens (human)
Lineage: Eukaryota; Metazoa; Chordata; Mammalia; Primates; Hominidae
Description: novel transcript
Source: RNAcentral